UGAGUAAAGUGGCGUACGGGUGAGUAACACGUGGGUAAUCUACCUCCGGGUGGGGAAUAACGCUGGGAAACCGGCGCUAAUACCGCAUAUCCUCGAGAGAGGAAAGCAGCAAUGCGCCUGGAGAGGAGCCCGCGGCCGAUUAGCUAGUUGGUGAGGUAACGGCCCACCAAGGCUAAGAUCGGUAGCCGGCCUGAGAGGGCACACGGCCACACUGGCACUGAAACACGGGCCAGACUCCUACGGGAGGCAGCAGUGGGGAAUCUUGCACAAUGGGGGAAACCCUGAUGCAGCGACGCCGCGUGAGCGAUGAAGCCCUUCGGGGUGUAAAGCUCUUUCGGCAGGGAAGAUGAUGACGGUACCUGCAGAAGCAGCUGCGGCUAACUACGUGCCAGCAGCCGCGGUAAUACGUAGGCAGCGAGCGUUGUUCGGAGUUACUGGGCGUAAAGGGUGUGUAGGCGGUCCUCCAAGUUUGGUGUGAAAUCUCCCGGCUCAACCGGGAGGGUGCGCCGAAAACUGGAGGGUUAGAGUGCGGGAUGGGAGAGUGGAAUUCCUGGUGUAGCGGUGAAAUGCGUAGAUAUCAGGAGGAACACCGGUGGUGUAGACGGCUCUCUGGACCGUAACUGACGCUGAGACACGAAAGCGUGGGUAGCAAACAGGAUUAGAUACCCUGGUAGUCCACGCCCUAAACGAUGCAUAUUUGGUGUAGGUCAUUCAGUUGAUCUGUGCCGGAGCUAACGCGUUAAAUAUGCCGCCUGGGGAGUACAGUCGCAAGGCUGAAACUCAAAGGAAUUGACGGGGGCCCGCACAAGCGGUGGAGCAUGUGGUUCAAUUCGACGCAACGCGAAGAACCUUACCUGGGCUCGAACGGCUUCUCAACGGCGGUGGAAACAUCGCUAUCCCGCAAGGGAGUGGAGUCGAGGUGCUGCAUGGCUGUCGUCAGCUCGUGUCGUGAGAUGUUGGGUUAAGUCCCGCAACGAGCGCAACCCUUGUCCUGUGUUGCUACCCGAAAGGGGCACUCGCAGGAGACCGCCAGCGAUAAGCUGGAGGAAGGUGGGGAUGACGUCAAGUCCUCAUGGCCUUUAUGUCCAGGGCUACACACGUGCUACAAUGGCCGGUACAAAGCGUUCCCAAGCCGCGAGGUGGAGGCAAUCGCAAAAAACCGGUCUCAGUUCGGAUUGCAGGCUGCAACUCGCCUGCAUGAAGCUGGAAUCGCUAGUA
This 1218-nucleotide ribosomal RNA is filed under the name uncultured bacterium. RNAcentral describes it as "bacterial SSU rRNA". It matches the Rfam family "Bacterial small subunit ribosomal RNA", at positions 87 to 1340 of the family's 1533-position model. The record is from RNAcentral.